RNAcentral lists this long non-coding RNA (426 nucleotides) under Musa acuminata (dwarf banana). RNAcentral describes it as "long non-coding RNA (MACU_LNC006896)". The record is from RNAcentral. Lineage: Eukaryota; Viridiplantae; Streptophyta; Magnoliopsida; Zingiberales; Musaceae.
GGGGACCGCCAAUUUGGUCGUUGAUUCCGUUACAGGCUUAUCGUAUUGCUUGAGAUUAGUUAUGGGUCAACGUGUACACAUGGGUGGAUGUCGUCGCGCCACGACGGCUGCGAAACGUGGUCCGGGUGAUUCGGUCAGCCUCGAUUUCGGCGUGUCCCGCUGUGGAGCCAAAAUUGAUCCCGUCGGUCCUCGAGACGUUGUCGGGGGGACAAGAUUGGAUACACGAGAUUUGAGCACGUGGUCGACAGCCUUCCCGCCUCCGCUGUCAGACGGCGCCCGCCGUCACGUGCUCGGGCGUACCCUCAUGAACCGCCCCGGCGGGCCCGACCGCAUCCCGCCUCCCACCUGCGUCGGUGUCAUUCGUAUCCCGUGAUGCCGGCGGACCCCACCGGCCUGCUCCCUUCGGGGCCCACGCACCGAUGCCCU